This 378-nucleotide unclassified non-coding RNA is filed under the name plant metagenome. RNAcentral describes it as "partial contains 5.8S ribosomal RNA, internal transcribed spacer 2, and large subunit ribosomal RNA". The stretch from base 1 to 105 matches the Rfam family "5.8S ribosomal RNA", at positions 50 to 154 of the family's 154-position model. The record is from RNAcentral.
GAAAUGCGAUAAGUAAUGUGAAUUGCAGAAUUAAGUGAAUCAUCGAAUCUUUGAACGCACCUUGCGCUCCUUGGUAUUCCUUGGAGCAUGCCUGUUUGAGUAUCAUGAAAUCUUCAAAGUAAAUCUUUUGUUAACUCAAUUGGUUUCUACUUUGGUAUUGGAGGUCUUUGCAGCUUCACACCUGCUCCUCUUUGUUCAUUAGCUGGAUCUCAGUGUUAUGCUUGGUUCCACUCGGCGUGAUAAGUUAUCUAUCGCUGAGGACACUGUAAAAGGUGGCCAAGGUAAAUGCAGAUGAGCCGCUUCUAAUAGUCCAUUGACUUGGACAAUACUUUUAUGAUCUGAUCUCAAAUCAGGUAGGACUACCCGCUGAACUUAAGC